Bos taurus (domestic cattle) is the source of this 976-nucleotide long non-coding RNA. The record is from Ensembl. NCBI's taxonomy places the organism in Eukaryota, Metazoa, Chordata, Mammalia, Artiodactyla, Bovidae.
UCCAGAUUUGCUAACGUAUUGAGGACAGCACUUUAACAGCACAUCUUUUAGGGUUUUUAAAUAGCUCUGCUGAAAUCCUAUCACCUCCAUGAGCUUUAUUGGCAGCAGUGCUUCCUAAGGCCCACUUGACUUCAGACUCCAGGAUGUCUGGCUCUAGGCAAAAUGCAGGCAGAGGACAUGGUUAGGGGACAAGGACCAUAUGGUCCUGCUCCAUUUCAAUCUGAUCCAUCAAACUGUUUGGAGAUUAGUGUCCCCUUGCCUGAAGAACCUGUAAUGACCUAUCCUGAACUUGAUGCUGAGGACUCAUGAGAAAUGCAGGUGGUGGACUUCCCCAGGGCACAGUGGAUGGGAAUCCAGUUGCAAAUGUAAGGAACACGAAUUCAAUCCCUGGUCCAGAAAGAUUCCACAUGGCACUGAGUAACUAGGUGCAUGCACCACAGCAACUGAGCCUGGUGGUGGCGAUUUAGUCAUUAAGUCGUGUCUGGCUCUUGGACUUUAGCACGCCGGACUCCUCUGUCCAUGGGGUUCUCCAGGCAAGAAUACUGGAGUGGGAGCCAUUCCCUCCUCCAGGGGAUCUUCCCGACCCAGGGAUCGAGCCUGGGUCUCCUGUAUUGCAGGCAGAUUCCUCACCCUCUGAGCCACCAGGGAAGCCCUACUGAGCAACUACUGAAGUCCACUCGCCUAGAGCCCGUGCUCCACAACAAGAGAAGCCACCACAAUGAGAAGCCACACACCAAGCGAAGAGUGGUCGCUGCUCUCCAUAACUCAAGAAAUCCUGCACAAAAGCAAUGAAGACUCAGCACAGUCCAAUACAUUAAUAAAACCCAAGUGGUAAAUAGACCUUUUAAGUUGUCUGCCAAACCAAGCCCCUUUCUCUGAACCCUCUCCUCAACCAAGGGUGGCCCGUUUGCAGCCAAAUUUAUUUUAUACAAUCCCCACCCCCACCUCCAAUGCCAAAAUCAAAGCUGGGGUAAAC